Molecule: non-coding RNA, 450 nt
Organism: Melozone crissalis (California towhee)
Lineage: Eukaryota; Metazoa; Chordata; Aves; Passeriformes; Passerellidae
Source: the annotation of a RefSeq genome assembly
AUGGUCAAUCCAAUCAGGUUUCUCAUCCUCAUCUCUCCCCUUUGUCCCGUAGGGCUCCGGGCGGCCGUGACCCUGCUGGAGUGCGGGGGGGACCUCCAGCCCCCUGGGGGGUCCCUGACGUUGCUGUGCCGCGCAUCUGGGUUUGAUUUUGGCAGUUUUGGGAUGGGCUGGAUGCGCCAGAGACCCGAGCAGACACUGGAAUACAUCGCCAGUAUCAGCAACAGUGGUGGCAGCACUGACUACGCGCCAUCGGUCAAGGGCCGGUUCACGAUCUCCAGGGACAACCGGCAGAGCUCGGUGACGCUGACCAUGAACAAUCUCAAGGUCGAGGACUCCGGAUCCUAUUUCUGUGCCAAAUGUGCUACUAGUGGUUAUGGUGGUGGUGUUGCUGGUUUUAGUGACAAUUCCAGCAGUGGCCCCAGCCCUAUGACGAGCUCCGGGCGGCCGUGA